This 253-nucleotide ribosomal RNA is filed under the name uncultured prokaryote. RNAcentral describes it as "partial 16S ribosomal RNA". It matches the Rfam family "Bacterial small subunit ribosomal RNA", at positions 525 to 777 of the family's 1533-position model. The record is from RNAcentral.
ACAGAGGGUGCAAGCGUUAAUCGGAAUUACUGGGCGUAAAGCGCGCGUAGGCGGUCGAGUAAGUCGGAUGUGAAAUCCCCGGGCUUAACCUGGGAAUUGCAUUCGAUACUGCUUGGCUAGAGUGUGGAAGAGGGAAGCGGAAUUUCCGGUGUAGCGGUGAAAUGCGUAGAUAUCGGAAGGAACACCAGUGGCGAAGGCGGCUUCCUGGUCCAACACUGACGCUGAGGCGCGAAAGCGUGGGGAGCGAACAGGA